CCUACGGGGGACAGCAGUGGGGGAUAUUGCACAAUGGGGGGAACCCUGAUGCAGCGACGCCGCGUGGGUGAGGGAGUGCUUCGGCAUGUAAAGCCCUAUCGGCAGGGAAGAAGCAAGACGGUACCUGACUAAGAAGCCCCGGCUAACUACGUGCCAGCAGCCGCGGUAAUACGUAGGGGGCGAGCGUUAUCCGGAUUCACUGGGUGUAAAGGGAGCGUAGACGGCCAUGCAAGCCAGGGGUGAAAGCCCGGGGCCCAACCCCGGGACUGCCCUUGGAACUGUGCGGCUAGAGUGCGGGAGGGGCAGGCGGAAUUCCUGGUGUAGCGGUGAAAUGCGUAGAUAUCAGGAGGAACACCGGCGGCGAAGGCGGCCUGCUGGACUGCGACUGACGUUGAGGCUCGAAAGCGUGGGGAGCGAACAGGAUUAGAUACCCGAGUAGUC
Molecule: ribosomal RNA, 441 nt
Filed under: uncultured bacterium
Lineage: Bacteria
Description: partial 16S ribosomal RNA
Rfam family: Bacterial small subunit ribosomal RNA
Source: RNAcentral